UUUAUGCUCAGAUAUUUAGAUUAUCUUUUUUUCAUUCUACUAUAAAUAUUUUAGGAAUAUCCUUAUCUAAAACUCUUUGCACAGCUGAUAAUUCAUUGGAGUACAUUUUGACAAGUGGAAUUACUGGGUCAAAGGGUGUGAACUGUUUUAGGCAUUAUAAGCUAUCUAGCCUGACUGAUUUUCAAAAAUGUAUCUCUAUUUAUAUUCCAAAUGAGGAUCCAUCUGAUGAUAUCUUCAUUAGCAUAGGAUAUUUUAAAAACUCUUGCUAAUUUGAUAAGUUAAAAUUAAUCAAUUGCUCAUUGGGUUUUUUUUUUGUUGUUGUCAGUGGAGAUGAACUUGUUUUUAUAUUUCUAUUCCCAUCUCCAUUUCCUCUACUCUUUCUUUCCAUACUGAGCAAGUUUGGAUUAUAUCAUGGACACUCUACUGUUACAUUGUAAAGACUCUGGAUUCUUCUCUAUUUCUCCAAAAAGUGUUGACCUCCUUAAGUAGGCAAUUAACAUGCCUCAAAAUACAAACUCUCUCUUGGGUAGAAACUCAAAUCUCAGUUCAGUUAUUUAGCUUUAACUAUUCUGCUUGUAAUCUGUUUCAUGCAUACAUGGCGUAAGAGUCAACCAGAUAUCUGGAUAGACUCAUGCACAGAAUGCAGGGCUUCCUUUCCUCUCUGGUUCUCUCAUUUCCAGUAGUCACCCUGCCCCUCACUUUCUAGCACCCAUGGUUGCUCCAAGAUCAGUUCCAGCUUUUAAAUCUGUUUUAGCCAACCUGAAUGGCGCAGACUAAAGCCUGCCUUCCAGCUAAAAUACACACACACACACACACACACACACACACACACACACACACACACACACACACACACACACACACACACACCCAGACACCCCCACACACACCCAUGGGAGAAAACCACCAAGAGCCAUUCCCUUUUUCCAAAUAAUUGACUUUCCUUCAAAAUGUGCUUGUGUCUGUUCACUCUUAAACCUUUAGAUUGUUAUUUUUAUGUUAUUGUGAUUAGAGUUGUUAUCUGCAGAAGAGUUUACUUGGCCACUACUGAGAAGAAAAUCUCCAGGACUAUCGAUAAUUAAUUUUCACUUCUACAAAGGGUUUUUUCCUCUUUUUUUUAAAACAAGAUGUAAUUCCCAAGUACAUCUCAAGAAAGGUAAGUUUCUCAGAAUUCCAGUCUUUCUCUUUGAACAUAUUUGGGGAAUGUUUCCUACAAAGGUUGCUCCUGGUAACUGGAGCUGUCUAGUUAGCUUCAAACAUCCACAGAAAACUGCACCUGAGCUCAUACUGAACACGGUAACAAUGGCACCGGGGGACUGGAGUGCCCAGAAACCAAUUAAGGCUGUGGUAAAGAAGGGAUUUUCUUCAAUGGCUAAUGGAGACCAUAAACAGAGGCUCUGACCACAGAGAAUUUGAUGCUGGCCACCCUUUCUUCUUAAGUUUGAACAAAGAUCAGUGACCAAGAGGCCUAAGCUAAUGUAAGCCCCAGGUAACUUUCAUGUUUGUAUUACUUCAUGCUUAGCAACAAUCGCUCAUCUAUGACUCCCUGGCACAAGGAAAUACGACACUCUGCAACAACAAGGUAUUUGUUAAGAUCCCCACGUUCCUUUUCAUCUUAAAAGGAUGUUAGAACUUACCUGUUUUAACCCAUCAUUCUACUUAUCAGAAACCCACAGUUUAAAACAGGGAAGACCCACCCAAGAUAACACAGGAAGGGGAAGAGCUGCCAUUAGCAGGCUGUUACAGCAUCUCUCAUUUUGCAGUCUGACUUUUAGCGACACAUUCAAGGUUUCAGAGAUGCUGCUACAUGAUGUGUCCUCAACCUUCCUUAAGGCUAAACUCUAAAGUGUUCUGAGUGGAAGAAAACAGUCUGCUCGGUGAUGCAAUCACAAUCUCCUGAAUUCAGCAAGAUGACAGUGUGAUCACUGCAUUUAAUGGUUGGCUGUUCUCCAAAAUCAGGUUGGCAGAUGAAGAAACAGAUGUAGCGAGGCCAAGUAAUCUGCCCAAGGUCAAGUGAGUGACAAGGCUUGGACUCCCACUCGGCUGUGUUUGACUCGGGAGCCUGAGCUCUUAACCAUGCAUUGUUCUGUCUCAUGCUGCCCUGCACAGCCUCAUAAUACCCCGAGGAGAAGACUCAACAUGAAAUAGCAUUUGGCUGCAUUCCAAUCAGUCAACACAUUCAUCACCAGCCACACAAAGAGAGCAGGUAGGCUGGACUCCCUGUGCUGAACAAAACAAUUCAGGCAAAUGCAGGCACUGACCUCUAACUCGAUUUGGAGAUUUAGCAUCUCUAUCUUGAAGACCUCCCUACAUCUCAACUGCUCUGUUUCAUGGGACCUUUUGUUGAUGGGGUCAAGAGGGGUCAAAGGGAAUUUAUCUUUUUAGUUUUUGUAUUCUUUUAUGAAAAAAAUUAUUUAACCAUCA
Camelus dromedarius (Arabian camel) is the source of this 2424-nucleotide long non-coding RNA. RefSeq lists it as uncharacterized. The transcript is spliced from 2 exons. NCBI's taxonomy places the organism in Eukaryota, Metazoa, Chordata, Mammalia, Artiodactyla, Camelidae. The record is from RefSeq and is a predicted model, not a curated record.